UACGGAGGAGGCAAGCGUUAACCGGAAUUAUUGGGCGUAAAGCGUCCGUAGGUGGUAAUUCAAGUCUGCUGUUAAAGCGUGAGGCUUAACCUCAUAAAGGCAGUGGAAACUGAAUUGCUAGAGAACAGAAGGGGCAACGGGAAUUCCUAGUGUAGCGGUGAAAUGCGUAGAGAUUAGGAAGAACACCAAUGGCGAAAGCACGUUGCUAGGCUGAUUCUGACACUGAGGGACGAAAGCUAGGGGAGCGAACGGG
RNAcentral lists this ribosomal RNA (253 nucleotides) under uncultured bacterium. RNAcentral describes it as "partial 16S ribosomal RNA". It matches the Rfam family "Bacterial small subunit ribosomal RNA", at positions 524 to 776 of the family's 1533-position model. The record is from RNAcentral.